This is a long non-coding RNA of Alligator mississippiensis (American alligator), 1107 nucleotides long. RefSeq lists it as uncharacterized. The transcript has 3 exons. Lineage: Eukaryota; Metazoa; Chordata; Crocodylia; Alligatoridae. The record is from RefSeq and is a predicted model, not a curated record.
AAUGCAGCAUCCAACUGCUGUCGGAGCGUAAUAAAAAGCUAGAGCCCUCUGCUCUCUGUCAGGGGGGUGUAACUUGCCCCCGGGGGAGGAGAGGAGGGAAGGCGGGUGCUUCAGUUUUGAUCCUCUGUCCACUGCCAUCUUCCUUGGUGCCUAGGAGAGCUGUUCCCUGUUUCAUUUUGGUAUGAUUUCUUUCUAGCAUGCCUGGGGCCUUGAGGGCCAACCCUGUGUUUCUCUGCUUACUGGAUCAUGGACUAGAAAGCAUCCCAGUGCGAAGGACUGCAGACUCCUGGAGCCUCAGACCGGUGGUGCGUACAGGGACCUGCUUAAAACCAAGCUGGAUUUCCGAGCAGUUCAGUGAUGCUUUAGGCUGUACAGCAGCGAGCCAGCCUCGAGGGCUGCCUUUCACCGCUGAGAGUGCGUCUAUUCUCUUGUUACACCCUCAGUUACUAUCAUUUUCCAUCGCAUCACUUUGAUUGCAUAAGGCAGGUGCUGUGCAUGAAGAAAAGCAAUGAGAGCCAGUUUGCUAAAAUGAAGUGCCUCUGUUACACCUGCUACCCGGGUAUUAAUGCAGUGGUAUCAGUGUGCUGUGUCACUCUUGCCACAGGCCUUUAUCUCGUGGAGCUGGAAAAAUGGGGAAGAUCUGAGUAGCUGGAUAGAGAAUGUCUUAGAUCUCUCUUCCUGUACGGGGGCAGGCGGUUGCUCACCGAGGCAUCGGAGAUUCGGGUAAGAUUGGAGAGAAAGCUGGGACUUCCUAGACAACCAGAGUCUGGGUCCUGAACUGAGUUGGAGUAGAGAAAUAACCAAGAGGAGCGAGACUAGACUGCUCACCUCAGCUGGUUUGCAACUGAAGACUGAAAAUACUGCAAUGAAGAUCCCCCCCUAGUGCAACAAAUCCUCCCUGUGCAGCAGAGGGAGGAUUGCUCCUCUUCGUGGUUCCUGUUGGAGCAAUACGCUGCUUCAUAACUUAUUCUCAGUUCUCUAUGAGACAGCCAACAUACAUCAGUCAGUGCAACACCGGGAUUAUUUGUAGUUUCCAAAAAUGCAAAAAAAAAAAAGAAAAAAAAAUGCAUUGGAAGGUCCCAGUUAAGUAAAAUAUAGACAAAUGCA